RNAcentral lists this ribosomal RNA (428 nucleotides) under uncultured prokaryote. RNAcentral's name for it is "bacterial SSU rRNA". It matches the Rfam family "Bacterial small subunit ribosomal RNA", at positions 355 to 774 of the family's 1533-position model. The record is from RNAcentral.
UGGGGAAUAUUGCGCAAUGGGCGAAAGCCUGACGCAGCGACGCCGCGUGAGGGAAGAAGGCCUUCGCGUCGUAAACCUCUGUCUAGAGGGAAGAAACCAUUGAGGUCGAACAGGCCUCUUUGCUGACGGUACCUCUGAAGGAAGCACCGGCUAACUCCGUGCCAGCAGCCGCGGUAAUACGGAGGGUGCGGGCGUUAAUCGGAAUCACUGGGCGGAAAGCGCACGUAGGCGGUGUCGUAAGUCGGAUGUGAAAGCCCUCGGCCCAACCGGGGAACUGCAUUCGAUACUGCGACGCUUGAGUGCCGGAGAGGGUGGCGGAAUUCCAGGUGUAGGAGUGAAAUCCGUAGAUAUCUGGAGGAACACCAGUGGCGAAGGCGGCCACCUGGCCGGCAACUGACGCUGAGGUGCGAAAGCGUGGGGAUCAAACA